This 1384-nucleotide ribosomal RNA is filed under the name Salmonella enterica. RNAcentral's name for it is "partial 23S ribosomal RNA". It matches the Rfam family "Bacterial large subunit ribosomal RNA", at positions 1568 to 2925 of the family's 2925-position model. Lineage: Bacteria; Pseudomonadati; Pseudomonadota; Gammaproteobacteria; Enterobacterales; Enterobacteriaceae. The record is from RNAcentral. RNAcentral also lists the same sequence under 3 other names.
GACGAGGCACUACGGUGCUGAAGCAACAAAUGCCCUGCUUCCAGGAAAAGCCUCUAAGCAUCAGGUAACACGAAAUCGUACCCCAAACCGACACAGGUGGUCAGGUAGAGAAUACCAAGGCGCUUGAGAGAACUCGGGUGAAGGAACUAGGCAAAAUGGUGCCGUAACUUCGGGAGAAGGCACGCUGACACGUAGGUGAAGUGAUUUACUCAUGGAGCUGAAGUCAGUCGAAGAUACCAGCUGGCUGCAACUGUUUAUUAAAAACACAGCACUGUGCAAACACGAAAGUGGACGUAUACGGUGUGACGCCUGCCCGGUGCCGGAAGGUUAAUUGAUGGGGUCAGCGCAAGCGAAGCUCCUGAUCGAAGCCCCGGUAAACGGCGGCCGUAACUAUAACGGUCCUAAGGUAGCGAAAUUCCUUGUCGGGUAAGUUCCGACCUGCACGAAUGGCGUAAUGAUGGCCAGGCUGUCUCCACCCGAGACUCAGUGAAAUUGAACUCGCUGUGAAGAUGCAGUGUACCCGCGGCAAGACGGAAAGACCCCGUGAACCUUUACUAUAGCUUGACACUGAACAUUGAGCCUUGAUGUGUAGGAUAGGUGGGAGGCUUUGAAGUGUGGACGCCAGUCUGCAUGGAGCCGACCUUGAAAUACCACCCUUUAAUGUUUGAUGUUCUAACGUGGACCCGUAAUCCGGGUUGCGGACAGUGUCUGGUGGGUAGUUUGACUGGGGCGGUCUCCUCCUAAAGAGUAACGGAGGAGCACGAAGGUUGGCUAAUCCUGGUCGGACAUCAGGAGGUUAGUGCAAUGGCAUAAGCCAGCUUGACUGCGAGCGUGACGGCGCGAGCAGGUGCGAAAGCAGGUCAUAGUGAUCCGGUGGUUCUGAAUGGAAGGGCCAUCGCUCAACGGAUAAAAGGUACUCCGGGGAUAACAGGCUGAUACCGCCCAAGAGUUCAUAUCGACGGCGGUGUUUGGCACCUCGAUGUCGGCUCAUCACAUCCUGGGGCUGAAGUAGGUCCCAAGGGUAUGGCUGUUCGCCAUUUAAAGUGGUACGCGAGCUGGGUUUAGAACGUCGUGAGACAGUUCGGUCCCUAUCUGCCGUGGGCGCUGGAGAACUGAGGGGGGCUGCUCCUAGUACGAGAGGACCGGAGUGGACGCAUCACUGGUGUUCGGGUUGUCAUGCCAAUGGCACUGCCCGGUAGCUAAAUGCGGAAGAGAUAAGUGCUGAAAGCAUCUAAGCACGAAACUUGCCCCGAGAUGAGUUCUCCCUGAGACUUAGAGUCUCCUGAAGGAACGUUGAAGACGACGACGUUGAUAGGCCGGGUGUGUAAGCGCAGCGAUGCGUUGAGCUAACCGGUACUAAUGAACCGUGAGGCUUAACCUUACA